AUGCAGACAAGUUGCAACACCAGGUAAUAUAGCAAUCAUUUUUCAAUUAGUAGUAUAAUUUGAUGAGCAAUAUGGAUUUGCUAGUGGUCCCCUUUUUUGGUUCAUUCUUUCUGGUUGAGGACUAUACAAAAAUGAUUCCUUAUCAGUAAUCACAAUUCACUUUGGGAUGCUUUGAGUUUUCAUACUGAUUCUUGAACAUGAGAACAUGUCUGCAGCUAGUUGGUUGUAAAAUGAUCUUCAUUUUAUUAGGGGGAUUUUACAUAUUUCUUUCCCCUUUUCUUACUCAUACUUGUGAUGGCAGGGUUAUGGUACACUAUUAAUG
RNAcentral lists this unclassified non-coding RNA (322 nucleotides) under Hevea brasiliensis (rubber tree). The record is from RNAcentral. Lineage: Eukaryota; Viridiplantae; Streptophyta; Magnoliopsida; Malpighiales; Euphorbiaceae.